This 855-nucleotide long non-coding RNA is filed under the name Nicotiana benthamiana. Its description in RNAcentral is "long non-coding RNA (NBEN_LNC034698)". Lineage: Eukaryota; Viridiplantae; Streptophyta; Magnoliopsida; Solanales; Solanaceae. The record is from RNAcentral.
AGAAGGCUACCAUUUCUCUCCAGAGAUUGUCAAUGACAGCAGAAACAGCUCGUUCUAUUGUUGGACAUGGUGGAAUUAGGCCUCUAAUCGAGAUAUGCCGUACUGGUGAUUCUGUUUCACAGGCUGCUGCUGCUUGUACCUUAAAGAAUAUAUCUGCUGUGGUUAGGCCUCUAAUUGAGAUUUGCCGUACUGGUGAUUCUGUUUCACAGGCUGCUGCUGCUUGUACCUUAAAAAAUAUAUCUGCUGUGCCAGAAGUUCGACAAGCUCUAGCUGAAGAAGGAAUCAUAAAAGUUAUGAUAAAUCUCCUCGAUUGUGGAAUACUGUUGGGAUCUAAAGAGUAUGCAGCUGAAUGCUUGCAAAAUCUAACUUCCGGAAAUGAUGAUCUUCGACGAUCAGUUGUGUCAGAGGGUGGAAUCAGAAGCCUGUUGGCAUACUUAGACGGCCCGCUUCCCCAUUGCAAAAUCUAACUUCCGGUAAUGAUGAUCUUCGACGAUCAGUUGUGUCAGAGGGUGGAAUCAGAAGCCUGUUGGCAUACUUAGACGGUGCACUUCCCCAAGAAUCAGCUGUAGGGGCCUUGAGAAAUUUGGUUGGCUCCGUCUCAAUGGAGGUUUUAAUCUCGCUAGGUCUCCUUCCGAGGUUGGUUCACGUGCUCAAGUCAGGAUCACUUGGUGCACAACAGGCUGCAGCAUUAGCAGUCUGUCGAAUUUGCACCUCAACUGAGAUGAAGAAACUUUUGGGUGAAGCUGGAUGCAUUCCUCUCCUUAUUAAGAUGUUGGAGGCUAAAGCAAAUGGGGUGAGGGAAGUUGCUGCUCAAGCGAUUGCUAGCCUAAUAUCCCUGGCACAUAAUUGCAGGGA